GACGAACCGUGCGAACGUUGUUCGGAAUCACUGGGCUUAAAGGGCGCGUAGGCGGGCCGGCAGGUCAGGGGUGAAAGCCCGCGGCUCAACCGCGGAAGCGCCCCUGAUACCGCCGGCCUCGAGGGGGGCAGGGGCGUGCGGAACUUCCGGUGGAGCGGUGAAAUGCGUAGAUAUCGGAAGGAACGCCGGUGGCGAAAGCGGCGCGCUGGGCCCCUUCUGACGCUGAGGCGCGAAAGCCAGGGGAGCGAACGGG
This 253-nucleotide ribosomal RNA is filed under the name uncultured bacterium. RNAcentral describes it as "partial 16S ribosomal RNA". It matches the Rfam family "Bacterial small subunit ribosomal RNA", at positions 524 to 776 of the family's 1533-position model. The record is from RNAcentral.